This is a long non-coding RNA of Anopheles funestus (African malaria mosquito), 1306 nucleotides long. RefSeq lists it as uncharacterized. NCBI's taxonomy places the organism in Eukaryota, Metazoa, Arthropoda, Insecta, Diptera, Culicidae. The record is from RefSeq and is a predicted model, not a curated record. The transcript has 3 exons.
CUAAGGUGUCUUGGCUAAGGUGUCUUGGCUAAGGUGUCUUGGCUAAGGUGUCUUGGCUAAGGUGUCUUGGCUAAUGUGUCUUGGCUAAUGUGUCUUGGCUAAGGUGUCUUUACUAAGGUGUCUUGGCUAAGGUGUCUUGGCUAAGGUGUCUUGGCUAAGGUGUCUUGGCUAAUGUGUCUUGGCUAAGGUGUCUUGGCUAAGUUGUCUUGGCUAAGGUGUCUUGGCUAAGGUGUCUUGGCUAAGGUGUCUUGGCUAAUGUGUCUUGGCUAAGGUGUCUUGGCUAAGGUGUCUUGGCUAAGGUGUCUUGGCUAAGGUGUCUUGGCUAAGGUGUCUUGGCUAAUGUGUCUCGGCUAAAGUGUCUUGGCUAAGGUGUCUUGGCUAAGGUGUCUUGGCUAAGGUGUCUUUGCUAAUGUGUCUCGGCUAAUGUGUCUUGGCUAAGGUGUCUUGGCUAAGGUGUCUUGGCUAAGGUGUCUUGGCUAAUGUGUUUUGGCUAAUGUGUCUUGGCUAAGGUGUCUUGGCUAAUGUGUCUUGGCUAAGGUGUCUUGGCUAAGGUGUCUUGGCUAAUGUGUCUUGGCUAAGGUGUCUUGGCUUAUGUGUCUCGGCUAAUGUGUCUUGGCUAAUGUGUCUUGGCUAAUGUGUCUUGGCUAAGGUGUCUUGGCUUAUGUGUCUCGGCUAAUGUGUCUUGGCUAAUGUGUCUUGGCUGAUGUGUCUUGGCUAAGGUGUCUUGGCUAAUGUGUCUUGGCUAAGGUGUCUCGGCUAAGGUGUCUUGGCUUAUGUGUCUUGGCUAAGGUGUCUUGGCUAAUGUGUCUUGGCUAAGGUGUCUUGGCUAAUGUGUCUUGGCUAAUGUGUCUUGGCUAAUGUGUCUUGGCUAAGGUGUCUUUUCUAAGGUGUCUUGGCUAAGGUGUCUUGGCUAAUGUGUCUUGGCUAAGGUGUCUUAGCUAAGGUGUCUUGGCUAAUGUGUUUUGGCUAAGGUGUCUUGGCUUAUGUGUCUUGGCUAAGGUGUCUUGGCUAAGGUGUCUUGGCUAAGGUGUCUUGGCUAAUGUGUCUCGGCUAAGGUGUCUUGGCUAAUGUGUCUUGGCUAAGGUGUCUUGGGUAAUGUGUCUUGGCUAAAGUGUCUUGGCUAAGGUGUCUUGGCUAAUGUGUCUCGGCUAAAGUGUCUUGGCUAAGGUGUCUUGGCUAAGGUGUCUUGGCUAAGGUGUCUUGGCUAAGGUGUCUUGGCUAAUGUGUCUCGGCUAAGGUGUCUUGGCUAAUGUGUCUUGGCUAAUGUGUCUUGGCUAAGGUGUCUUGGCUAAGGUGUCUUGGCUAA